Hordeum vulgare subsp. vulgare (domesticated barley) is the source of this 136-nucleotide non-coding RNA. NCBI's taxonomy places the organism in Eukaryota, Viridiplantae, Streptophyta, Magnoliopsida, Poales, Poaceae. The record is from Rfam.
AACAUACUCCCUUCAUCCUAAAAUUCUUGUCUUAACUUUGUUUAGAAAUGGAUGUAUCAAAAUACUAAAACUUCACUAGAUACAUUUAUAUCUAAACAAAUCUAAGACAAUAAUUUUGAGACGGAGGGAGUAUAUG